UACCCGCAGCACAAGUGGUGGUCAUUAUUAUUGGGCCUAAAGCGUCCGUAGCUGGCCUGUUAGAUGCCUGGGUAAAUCGAUGCGCUCAACGCAUCGAACUCCGGGUAGACCGGCAGGCUUGGGACCGGGAGAGGCGUGAGCUACUCGGGGGGUAGGGGUAAAAUCCUGUAAUCCUCCGGGGAGGACCAGUGGCGAAGGCGUCGACGCUAGAACGGCUCCGACAGUGAGGGACGAAGCCCUGGGGCGCAAACCGG
This 254-nucleotide ribosomal RNA is filed under the name uncultured bacterium. RNAcentral's name for it is "partial 16S ribosomal RNA". It matches the Rfam family "Archaeal small subunit ribosomal RNA", at positions 474 to 727 of the family's 1478-position model. The record is from RNAcentral.